GACGGGACCCGCACAAGCGGUGGAUGAUGUGGUUUAAUUCGAUGCAACGACGAAAACCUUACCCACCUUUGACAUGUACGGAACCUUAGAGAUAGAGGGGUGCUCGAAAGAGAGCCGUAACACAGGUGCUGCAUGGCUGUCGUCAGCUCGUGUCGUGAGAUGUUGGGUUAAGUCCCGCAACGAGCGCAACCCUUGUCAUUAGUUGCUACAUUCAGUUGGGCACUCUAAUGAGACUGCCGGUGACAAGCCGGAGGAAGGUGGGGAUGACGUCAAGUCCUCAUGGCCCUUAUAGGUGGGGCUACACACGUCAUACAAUGGCUGGUACAAAGGGUUGCCAACCCGCGAGGGGGAGCCAAUCCCAUAAAGCCAGUCGUAGUCCGGAUCGUAGUCUGCAACUCGACUACGUGAAGUCGGAAUCGCUAGUAAUCGUGGAUCAGAAUGUCACGGUGAAUACGUUCCCGGGUCUU
Molecule: ribosomal RNA, 467 nt
Filed under: uncultured Rhodoferax sp.
Lineage: Bacteria; Pseudomonadati; Pseudomonadota; Betaproteobacteria; Burkholderiales; Comamonadaceae
Description: bacterial SSU rRNA
Rfam family: Bacterial small subunit ribosomal RNA
Source: RNAcentral